Molecule: long non-coding RNA, 3014 nt
Organism: Homo sapiens (human)
Lineage: Eukaryota; Metazoa; Chordata; Mammalia; Primates; Hominidae
Gene: PM20D1-AS1
Product: PM20D1 antisense RNA 1
Source: Ensembl
GAAUUCAGUAAAGUUUCAGGAUACAAAAACAAUGUACACAAAUCAGGAGUACGGCUAUACAACACCAACAACCAAACUAAUAAUCAAAUCAAGAACUCAACCCCUUUUACAACAGCUGCAACAAAAUUAAAUACUUAGGAAUAUACCUAACCAAGGAGGUGGAAGAUCUCUACAAGGAAAACUACAAAAAACUGCUGAAAGAAAUCAUAGAUGAUACAAACAAAUGGAAACAUAUCCUAUGCUCACAAAUGGGUAGAAACAAUAUUGUGAAAAUGAGCAUACUACCAAAAGCAAUCUACAAAUUCAAUGCAAUUCCCAUCAAAAUACCAUCAUCAUUCUUCACAGAACUAAAACAAAUAUUAAAAUUCAUAUGGAACCAAAAAUGAGCCUGCAUAGCCAAAGCAAGACUAAACAAAAAGAAGAAAUCUGGAGGCAUCACAUUACCAGACUUCAAACUAUACAACAAUGCUGGUAGAAGAGCCUGAUGGCCUGGUGUUGGGCCUGAUCACCCCAAAAUUUCAGGCACCCAACGUGGGGCUAUGAAGACCAUGGUAAAGAAAUGCUAGAGUAUAUGGAAAUGAAGGACAUAUCAUCAAAGGACACCCGAGGAUGGCUGAAAGAAGCUUGGUGGGUAACAAUCAGGCACCUGUGUGGGUGCCCACCAAACAUCUGGAGAUCUAUCAUGAGCCACACCAGGAAGAGAGGGCUCUGGGAAGAGCCAGAGCUCCUGAUAUGAGUGAUGGUACAAAUGAACAUCUCAGAGACAAAGGAGAAGACCAAUGGAGUCUGUAGAUGCGGAAGCCACCUCUGGAGAGAAAGCCACCACUGAGAGCAAGCAAUGAUAGCUGUGGCGGUUUUGCAAAAAAGAAAAGGGAGACAAGCGCCCAGCUAUAGUUACCAAUAAAGCAUGCACUUCCAGCACUAUGUUGACUACAAAUGGUGAAGUGCCACUGGGUUAGAGUCUCCCCGACCAAGCUGGUCUCAGCAAGUGGUCUCCAUCAUGGGGGCUCGAAUCCAGGUUGAAGGGUCACCAGAGUGAUGGUUGGAGAACAUGGAACUAGCUGGAGGACACCUGAGUACUCUUAAAGCAAACCCCGUGUUAAUUGAAAAUGCUCAGUUACGAUUUCAUACAGAUGAACAACUGAAGACAAAAACAACAAAGGGGGAGAAAGAGGGAUUAUGGGACAGCCCAUAUACAAUUGAAUCUAGCAUUAUUAACUUUAAAUUUUUUGAGUCUGCCUAAAGGCCAGAUGUUAUCAGCAGCUGAACAGCAUUUACAGAAACCGGCUGCAAAGACAGAAGCAGAACAACUGGUUUGGUGGAGAGAUCCGAUAACAAAAAGUUGGGAAAUAGGUAAAAUAAUAACUUGGGGUAGAGGUUAUGUUUGUGUUUCUCCAGGCCAAAAUCAAUAACCAAUUUGGAUACCAUCAAGACACCUGAAACCUUAUCAUGAGCCAGAUGCUGAGGAAGAGAUUCCAGGAGGAUCCUGAGGACCCCCUGGUUGCAGCCACGUCGAGGCUGACACUGAGGAGGACCCCAACUGUCAUGAGCAACACCCGUCGAACACAGCCAUCCACCUGGGGACAAAUCAAGAAGCUGUCACAGAUGAUGGAAGAAAACCUGAGGAAAGCGGGACAACCAAUCACAAUGAGUAAUUUGGUGAUCUAUCACAGUGAUGAUCACCAUUGCCAUGAGUAUUCCUUCAACAAGGGCUGACACAGAGAACAAUUAUACUUAUUGGGCAUAUUUAUCAAUCUUGUCUGGCAAUAAUGCCUAGAUGAUUUCACUCUAUGGCACAGUUACACAUGCUUUCUGAUCUCAGUAUUUACCAUAAUAAAUCUGCUCCUAUAAUUGAGGCAUACCACCCUCAAAAACCUAUUUGUAAACAAAAUAGAACCUGGCCAGAAAUAAUGAACAACUUGUUUAGUAAGAUUGCAUUGCAGAACAGGCAGAGAUGCUACGCAAUGAUUCCUAUGGGAUCAUUGAUUGGUCCCCUAAGGGGAUGUUUAGCUUAAAUUGCACCUCUCAGUCUGCAUGCCAUGGCCACACUAGUUCAGAUGGUCUGAACAAAGUGGUCAGAUGGCAGAAAUGAUAAGAAGUAUGGCAAAAGUUCCUAUUGUCUGGAACCAUGGCAGUAUAGUGUCACCUCAACCUCAAAUGAUAUGGCUCAUUGUAGGAGCUAAACAUAAGGAUUUGUGGAAACUAUUAAUAGCUCUUAAUAAGAUCAAAAUUUGGGAAAGAAUAAAAAAAGCAUCUAGAAAGACACUCUACAAACUUGUCUUUGGAUAUUACAAAAUUAAAAGAACAAAUAUUUAAAGCAUCCCAGGUACACCUGACCUUAAUGACAGAAACUGGAGUGCUUGAAGGAGCUGCAGACAGAUUAGCAGCUAGUAACCCAUUAAAAUGGAUAAAAACACUUGGAAGCUCUGUGAUUUCAAUGAUGAUUGUGCUUUUAAUCGGUAUUGUUUGUCUUUGUAUAGUGUGCAGAUGUGGAUCCUGACUCCUGUGAGAAGUAGCUCACAGUGUCAAAGCUGCCUUUGCUUUUAUCGAUUUGCAAAUCAAAUAAGGGGGACAUAUUGGGAACAGCACCCCCCCCCCCAAAAUCUGGCCAUAAACUGGUCCCAAAACUGGCCAUAAACAAAAUCUCUGCAGCACUGACAUGUUCAUGAUGGUCUUAAUGCCCACGCUGGAAGGUUGUGGGUUUACCAGAAUGAGAGCAAGGAACACCUGGCCCACCCAGGGUGGAAAACCACUUAAAGGCAUUCUUAAACCACAAACAAUAGCAUGAGUGAUCUGUGCCUUAAGGCUGUGCUACUGCUGCAGAUAACUAGCCCAACCCAUCCCUUUAUUUCAGCCCAUCCCUUCGUUUCCCAUAAGGGAUACUUUUAAUUAAUCUAAUAUGUAUAGAAAGAAUGCUAAUGACUGGCUUGCUGUUAAUAAAUAACGUGGGUAAAUCUCUGUUGGAGGCUCUCAGCUCUGAAGGCUGUGAGACCCCGGAUUUCCCACUUCACACC